This 1188-nucleotide long non-coding RNA is filed under the name Anser cygnoides (Swan goose). Its description in RNAcentral is "lncRNA (ENSACDG00005015140.1)". Lineage: Eukaryota; Metazoa; Chordata; Aves; Anseriformes; Anatidae. The record is from RNAcentral.
AUGGAGAAACAAGCGGCAGUUGAUUUACUUAAGUGCUUUUUAGAAAAGCGUAAGACGCCAGAGAUAGAUUGUCGUAAAGAGUUACCGGGGUUAGUGGCCUAUGGGGUGGCAAAGGGUUGCUUCAUUAACCCCGACACCUUGUUUGAGGAGGAUGAGUGGCGUAAAUUUGGCGAUAUAUUGUUUGAGGAAUUGAUUGGUGAGAAUAAGACGGCUAAGAAAUUGGCAAAGCCGUGGCGGGCAGUCACGAACGCUUUAACAAUACAUCGAGUAGAACAGAAAGUAGCAGCCGCUGCGACAGAGCGGCUGGGCAAAACGAUGAGGGCCGAUGAAGAAGCCAAUCCGUACCCCUUCCCUCCAUCGGUCCAACAAUUCACUAUGGAGCAGCCCGUGGGACGGGAAGCGAGGGCGCGACCCAGUGCGCCUCCUCUACCCCUGGAAACUCCCGAGGAAGAGGUGACUGGGGAAGGGAGAAAUAGGAAUCCAUUCUUGGAAGAUAUGAGAAUCGAGUCAGGAGGGUCGGAGAGAGCAGGACUUUGGGCGAGGAUAGCGGGGGAGGCAUUGCGUGAAGGCGAUGUGGGGGCAGCGACAGAGCUUGUAGGCGCCUUCCCCGUAGUGUACUCCCCACCCAAUGCCCAGGGCCAGAUAACUGUUACUAUGACAAAUCUGGAUUGGAAAAUACUGACUCAAUUGCGUGCCACGGUAAAUGAGUCAGGAAUACGAGGGGAGCCUACAAAACAGAUGUUAGACUAUUUGUGGUCCACUAAUAUAUUGCUCCCCGGUGACAUUCGUAAUAUCAUGAAGCUAAUACUGACGCAGCAUCAGAUUCUGCUGUUCAAUGCCCACUGGCAGUCAGCUUGUCAGGAGGCAGUUGCGGUGCAGCGCCAGCCCGGAGAUCCGCUACACGGGGUCACGCUGGAUGAGCUCUUGGGGGUCGGCGCAUACAAUCGCUUGGAGGCCCAGGCUCUGAUGGGGCCGGAUAAGGCGAAAGCUGCCAUGACGCUAGCUAGGAGAGCACUGGACCAAAUUAGAGAGCCUGGAGGAAUGCCCUCCUAUAUGUCCAUCAAGCAAGGGCGAGACGAAGCGUUUGGAACGUUUAUUGAUAGGGUUUGCCGCAGCUAUACAGGUAGCUGGAUUGCCCGAAUAUCUCAAAGGUCCUAUUCUCAAACAAUGUGCCCUUCAAAAUUGUAA